This is a long non-coding RNA of Gadus morhua (Atlantic cod), 242 nucleotides long. RefSeq lists it as uncharacterized. The transcript is spliced from 3 exons. The record is from RefSeq and is a predicted model, not a curated record. Lineage: Eukaryota; Metazoa; Chordata; Actinopteri; Gadiformes; Gadidae.
GACGAUUUAGUACACUCAGUGCUUCAAGUGAGCUUUUCUAACAUUGCAUCUUUUUGUUUUUCCUUGAAGGUCUAAGACCAGUUGAGAGGACAACUACAGAGGAGGACCAGGAGUCUGAAUCACAGCUAACCAGAGGUAGAUCAAGGACCUGGACAAAGGACCAUGAGUCUGCCUCAUCACAUCUGAGAAAAGGUCUAAGACCAGUUGAGAGGACAACUACAGAGGAGGACCAGGAGUCUGAA